AUACGGAGGAUCCGAGCGUUAUCCGGAUUUAUUGGGUUUAAAGGGAGCGUAGGCGGACUAUUAAGUCAGCUGUGAAAGUUUGCGGCUCAACCGUAAAAUUGCAGUUGAUACUGGUCGUCUUGAGUGCAGUAGAGGUAGGCGGAAUUCGUGGUGUAGCGGUGAAAUGCUUAGAUAUCACGAAGUACUCCGAUUGCGAAGGCAGCUUACUGGACUGUAACUGACGCUGAUGCUCGAAAGUGUGGGUAUCAAACAGGAUUAGAUACCCUGGUAGUCCACACAGUAAACGAUGAAUACUCGCUGUUUGCGAUAUACGGCAAGCGGCCAAGCGAAAGCAUUAAGUAUUCCACCUGGGGAGUACGCCGGCAACGGUGAAACUCAAAGGAAUUGGCGGGG
This 393-nucleotide ribosomal RNA is filed under the name uncultured bacterium. RNAcentral describes it as "partial 16S ribosomal RNA". It matches the Rfam family "Bacterial small subunit ribosomal RNA", at positions 523 to 918 of the family's 1533-position model. The record is from RNAcentral.